AUUGAACGCUGGCGGCAGGCCUAACACAUGCAAGUCGAGCGGAUGAAGGGAGCUUGCUCCUGGAUUCAGCGGCGGACGGGUGAGUAAUGCCUAGGAAUCUGCCUGGUAGUGGGGGAUAACGUCCGGAAACGGGCGCUAAUACCGCAUACGUCCUGAGGGUGAAAGUGGGGGAUCUUCGGACCUCACGCUAUCAGAUGAGCCUAGGUCGGAUUAGCUAGUUGGUGGGGUAAAGGCCUACCAAGGCGACGAUCCGUAACUGGUCUGAGAGGAUGAUCAGUCACACUGGAACUGAGACACGGUCCAGACUCCUACGGGAGGCAGCAGUGGGGAAUAUUGGACAAUGGGCGAAAGCCUGAUCCAGCAAUGCCGCGUGUGUGAAGAAGGUCUUCGGAUUGUAAAGCACUUUAAGUUGGGAGGAAGGGCAGUAAGUUAAUACCUUGCUGUUUUGACGUUACCAACAGAAUAAGCACCGGCUAACUUCGUG
RNAcentral lists this ribosomal RNA (484 nucleotides) under uncultured bacterium. Its description in RNAcentral is "partial 16S ribosomal RNA". It matches the Rfam family "Bacterial small subunit ribosomal RNA", at positions 30 to 507 of the family's 1533-position model. The record is from RNAcentral.